RNAcentral lists this ribosomal RNA (748 nucleotides) under uncultured Enhydrobacter sp. RNAcentral's name for it is "bacterial SSU rRNA". It matches the Rfam family "Bacterial small subunit ribosomal RNA", at positions 28 to 776 of the family's 1533-position model. Lineage: Bacteria; Pseudomonadati; Pseudomonadota; Alphaproteobacteria; Hyphomicrobiales. The record is from RNAcentral.
AUUGAACGCUGGCGGCAGGCUUAACACAUGCAAGUCGAACGAUGACUCUCUAGCUUGCUAGAGAUGAUUAGUGGCGGACGGGUGAGUAACAUUUAGGAAUCUACCUAGUAGUGGGGGAUAGCUCGGGGAAACUCGAAUUAAUACCGCAUACGAUCUACGGGUGAAAGGGGGCGCAAGCUCUUGCUAUUAGAUGAGCCUAAAUCAGAUUAGCUAGUUGGUGGGGUAAAGGCCCACCAAGGCGACGAUCUGUAACUGGUCUGAGAGGAUGAUCAGUCACACCGGAACUGAGACACGGUCCGGACUCCUACGGGAGGCAGCAGUGGGGAAUAUUGGACAAUGGGGGCAACCCUGAUCCAGCCAUGCCGCGUGUGUGAAGAAGGCCUUUUGGUUGUAAAGCACUUUAAGCAGGGAGGAGAGGCUAAUGGUUAAUACCCAUUAGAUUAGACGUUACCUGCAGAAUAAGCACCGGCUAACUCUGUGCCAGCAGCCGCGGUAAUACAGAGGGUGCGAGCGUUAAUCGGAAUUACUGGGCGUAAAGCGAGUGUAGGUGGCUCAUUAAGUCACAUGUGAAAUCCCCGGGCUUAACCUGGGAACUGCAUGUGAUACUGGUGGUGCUAGAAUAUGUGAGAGGGAAGUAGAAUUCCAGGUGUAGCGGUGAAAUGCGUAGAGAUCUGGAGGAAUACCGAUGGCGAAGGCAGCUUCCUGGCAUAUAUUGACACUGAGAUUCAAAGCGUGGGUAGCAAACAGG